RNAcentral lists this ribosomal RNA (465 nucleotides) under uncultured bacterium. RNAcentral describes it as "partial 16S ribosomal RNA". It matches the Rfam family "Bacterial small subunit ribosomal RNA", at positions 28 to 507 of the family's 1533-position model. The record is from RNAcentral.
GACGAACGCUGGCGGCGUGCUUAACACAUGCAAGUCGAACGGAAAGGCCCCUUUGGGGGUACUCGAGUGGCGAACGGGUGAGUAACACGUGAGUAACCUGCCCUUGACUUCGGGAUAACUUCAGGAAACUGGGGCUAAUACCGGAUAGGAAUCCUUGCUGCAUGGUGGGGGUUGGAAAGCUUCGUCGGUUUUGGAUGGACUCGCGGCUUAUCAGCUUGUUGGUGGGGUAGUGGCUUACCAAGGCUUUGACGGGUAGCCGGCCUGAGAGGGCGACCGGCCACAUUGGGACUGAGAUACGGCCCAGACUCCUACGGGAGGCAGCAGUGGGGAAGAUUGAACAAUGGGCGGAAGCCUGAUGCAGCAACGCCGCGUGCGGGAUGACGGCCUUCGGGUUGUAAACCGCUUUCAGCAGGGGCGAAGCUUGUGGUGACGGUACCUGCAGAAGAAGCACCGGCUAACUACGUG